GCGUGAGUGAUGAAGGCCUUAGGGUUGUAAAGCUCUUUCAGCAGGGAAGAUAAUGACGGUACCUGCAGAAGAAGCCCCGGCUAACUCCGUGCCAGCAGCCGCGGUAAUACGGAGGGGGCUAGCGUUGUUCGGAUUUACUGGGCGUAAAGCGCGCGUAGGCGGCUUGCCAAGUUGGAGGUGAAAGCCCAGGGCUCAACCCUGGAACUGCCUUCAAAACUGGCUCGCUUGAGUCCGGGAGAGGUGAGUGGAAUUCCCAGUGUAGAGGUGAAAUUCGU
RNAcentral lists this ribosomal RNA (275 nucleotides) under uncultured bacterium. RNAcentral's name for it is "partial 16S ribosomal RNA". It matches the Rfam family "Bacterial small subunit ribosomal RNA", at positions 399 to 691 of the family's 1533-position model. The record is from RNAcentral.